This 445-nucleotide ribosomal RNA is filed under the name uncultured bacterium. RNAcentral describes it as "partial 16S ribosomal RNA". It matches the Rfam family "Bacterial small subunit ribosomal RNA", at positions 354 to 796 of the family's 1533-position model. The record is from RNAcentral.
GUGAGGAAUAUUGGUCAAUGGGCGCAAGCCUGAACCAGCCAUGCCGCGUGCAGGAAGACGGUCCUAUGGAUUGUAAACUGCUUUUAUUUGGGAAUAAACUCCGGUACGUGUACCGGCCUGAAGGUACCAAAUGAAUAAGCACCGGCUAACUCCGUGCCAGCAGCCGCGGUAAUACGGAGGGUGCAAGCGUUAUCCGGAAUCAUUGGGUUUAAACGGUACGCAGGCGGUCUUAUAAGUCAGUGGUGAAAGCCUACAGCUCAACUAUAGAACUGCCAUUGAUACUGUAGGACUUGAAUUCGAUCGAAGUGGGCGGAAUGUGACAUGUAGCGGUGAAAUGCUUAGAUAUGUCACAGAACACCGAUAGCGAAGACAGCUCACUAGGUCUGGAUUGACGCUCAGGGACGAAAGCGUGGGGAGCAAACAGGAUUAGAAACCCCGGUAGUCC